This 165-nucleotide ribosomal RNA is filed under the name Rhododendron orbiculatum. Its description in RNAcentral is "5.8S ribosomal RNA". It matches the Rfam family "5.8S ribosomal RNA". From Rfam's summary of the family: 5.8S ribosomal RNA (5.8S rRNA) is a component of the large subunit of the eukaryotic ribosome. It is transcribed by RNA polymerase I as part of the 45S precursor that also contains 18S and 28S rRNA. Functionally, it is thought that 5.8S rRNA may be involved in ribosome translocation. The record is from RNAcentral. Lineage: Eukaryota; Viridiplantae; Streptophyta; Magnoliopsida; Ericales; Ericaceae.
CUAAACGACUCUCGGCAACGGAUAUCUCGGCUCUUGCAUCGAUGAAGAACGUAGCGAAAUGCGAUACUUGGUGUGAAUUGCAGAAUCCCGUGAACCAUCGAGUCUUUGAACGCAAGUUGCGCCUGAAGCCAUUAGGUUGAAGGCACGCCUGCCUGGGCGUCACGC